UACGUAGGGUGCGAGCGUUGCCCGGAUUUAUUGGGCGUAAAGGGCGCGUAGGCGGCUCUGCACGUCCGUUGUGAAAUCGCCCGGCUCAACUGGGCGGGGUCAGCGGAUACGGCAGAGCUCGAGCAAGCUAGGGGGCAAUGGAAUUCCCGGUGUAGUGGUGAAAUUCGUAGAUAUUAGGAAGAACACCAGUGGCGAAGGCGGCUCACUGGCCCGGUACUGACGCUGAGGCGCGAAAGCGUGGGGAGCAAACAGG
RNAcentral lists this ribosomal RNA (253 nucleotides) under uncultured bacterium. RNAcentral describes it as "partial 16S ribosomal RNA". It matches the Rfam family "Bacterial small subunit ribosomal RNA", at positions 524 to 776 of the family's 1533-position model. The record is from RNAcentral.